AGCAGAAGGGGACUUCAGAGAGAGGUGGUAUAAGGAGGUCAGAUUCCAAGUGUGAUAAGGGUGUGGCAUGCCAUUGCCGGCUCUGAGAUGUAGAGGCUUGUGUGCUAGGACUGGAGAGAGACCUUAAGAGAAGAAGGGAGGCCACCAGUUGACAGCCAGCAAAGAAAUGGGCCUCAGUCCUACAGCCACAAGCAACUAAUUCUGCCAACAACCUGAAUGAGCUUGGAAGCAGAUUCUUUUCAAAGCCUUCCAGUAAGAGCCAAGCUGGCUGAUACCUUGAUUUUUGGCCUCAUGAAGCCAAGAGCAGAGAAAAGAGCUGAGCCAGCCUGGAUGUCUGAACUACAGACUGGUCCUGGAACCCUCUUACCUGUCAAUGACUUUCCCUCUUGGAAUUUGAGGGAACAACUGGAAUGCCCCCAGCUUUUCCCACAGAUGGUAAUUCUCUUCACCAAGAGUCCCGCAGUUUCCUGCCUCAACAGUGCUUGGACUGAACGGGCACUCAUCCCCCACCCUGCCUAGUGCUCAGAGCCAACCUUUCAUCGCCUCUUCACAGCUCCCUCAGACUACCCCAGCCUCCACCACCACCACCACCUCUCCUCAGCCAUGUGCUAUGAGGACCACGUCCCCCUCACAGGUAUGCCAGGACUACCACCUUGACUCAGAGGCCACCAUCAACCGCCAGAUCAACCUGGAGCUCUAUGCCUCCUACAUCUUCCUGUCCAUGUCUUACUACUUUGAGAUGAUGUGGCUUUGAAGAAUUUUGCCAAAUGCUUUCUUCACCAAUCUCAUAAGACGAGGAAACAUGCUGAGAAACGGAUAAAGCUGCAGAACCAACGAGGUGGCCAUUCCUUCAGGAUAUCAAGAAACCAGAUCACGAUGACUGGGAAAAUGGGCUGAAUGCAACAGAGUGUGUGUUACACUUGGGAAAAAGCAUGAAUCAGUCACUACUGGGACUGUACUCACAAACUGGCCACUGACGAAAAUAGCCCCCAUUUGUGUGCCCUCAUUGAGAGUCAUUACUUAAAUAAGCAGACAAAAUUCUUCAAAGAAUUGGAUGACCACUGUAACCAAUUUUUCCAUUAUGGGGUCCCCAGAAUCUGGCAUGGCAGGGUAUCUCUUUGACAAGCACACCCUGGAAGACAAUGAUAGGAAGAACUGAGCCUUAGGAUGUUUCCCAUAGCCAUGAGAGGACUUCCCUGGUCACCAGGCAGCGCAUGAAUGUUGGGGUUACAUUUAUCUUUUCUGUAAGUUGUACCAAAACAUCUACU
This 1268-nucleotide long non-coding RNA is filed under the name Equus asinus (donkey). Its description in RNAcentral is "lncRNA (ENSEASG00005033267.1)". The stretch from base 461 to 495 matches the Rfam family "Iron response element I". The record is from RNAcentral. Lineage: Eukaryota; Metazoa; Chordata; Mammalia; Perissodactyla; Equidae.